Molecule: ribosomal RNA, 453 nt
Filed under: Gemella morbillorum
Lineage: Bacteria; Bacillati; Bacillota; Bacilli; Caryophanales; Gemellaceae
Description: bacterial SSU rRNA
Rfam family: Bacterial small subunit ribosomal RNA
Source: RNAcentral
CGGCGUGCCUAAUACAUGCAAGUCGAGCGAAGUUUUUCUGGUGCUUGCACUAGAAAAACUUAGCGGCGAACGGGUGAGUAACACGUAAAGAACCUGCCUCAUAGACUGGGACAACUAUUGGAAACGAUAGCUAAUACCGGAUAACAGUAUUUCUCGCAUGAGAGAUAUUUAAAAGUUGGUUAUGCUAACACUAUGAGAUGGCUUUGCGGUGCAUUAGCUAGUUGGUGGGGUAAAGGCCUACCAAGGCGACGAUGCAUAGCCGACCUGAGAGGGUGAUCGGCCACACUGGGACUGAGACACGGCCCAGACUCCUACGGGAGGCAGCAGUAGGGAAUCUUCCGCAAUGGGCGAAAGCCUGACGGAGCAACGCCGCGUGAGUGAAGAAGGAUUUCGGUUCGUAAAGCUCUGUUGUUAGGGAAGAAUGGAUAUGUAGUAACUAUACAUAUAAGAGAC